RNAcentral lists this unclassified non-coding RNA (335 nucleotides) under Hevea brasiliensis (rubber tree). The record is from RNAcentral. Lineage: Eukaryota; Viridiplantae; Streptophyta; Magnoliopsida; Malpighiales; Euphorbiaceae.
GAUAUGCAUACGAUGAAAACAAUGUUCCAGCAAUUUAAUAUAUUAUAUUAUUACAUUAUAAUACUACACGCGAAGCCUACGAGAUUUCCACAGGUAAAAAUCACACAUCUAACCCACGUAAAAAUGGGCUCGCUCCAACAUCCUGCCACACAUCCCAAGGGAUCAAACAUCAAAGACAACUGGCAAAAAACAAUGCAGGGAACGAAAAAGAAUAUCAACCGUCAAGAGUCUGGACCGCAGUUUUCACUGAAUAAAUAAUACAAGAAAACUUAGCGAGCCCAUGAUACAGAAUCAAUCUCGUCCCUCGCGGACUUGUAUAAUUCAAGCCUUUUCGC